UUCUCGCAGGAGAAACUUUGAG
This 22-nucleotide small nuclear RNA is filed under the name Arabidopsis thaliana (thale cress). RNAcentral's name for it is "snRNA_00597". The record is from RNAcentral. Lineage: Eukaryota; Viridiplantae; Streptophyta; Magnoliopsida; Brassicales; Brassicaceae.